This 406-nucleotide ribosomal RNA is filed under the name uncultured bacterium. RNAcentral describes it as "partial 16S ribosomal RNA". It matches the Rfam family "Bacterial small subunit ribosomal RNA", at positions 28 to 526 of the family's 1533-position model. The record is from RNAcentral.
GACGAACGCUGGCGGCGUGCCUAAUACAUGCAAGUCGAACGAGUUGCGGACGGGUGAGUAACGCGUGGUAACCUGCCUCAUAGCGGGGGAUAACUAUUGGAAACAAUAGCUAAUACCGCAUACAAUCGAUUGUGCCCAGAUGGGAUUGGCUGGUGGGUGGGGUAACGGCUCACCUAGGCGACGAUCCCUAGCUGGUCUGAGAGGAUGACCAGCCACACUGGAACUGAGACACGGUCCAGACUCCUACGGGAGGCAGCAGUGGGGAAUAUUGCACAAUGGGCGCAAGCCUGAUGCAGCCAUGCCGCGUGUAUGAAGAAGGCCUUCGGGUUGUAAAGUACUUUCAGCGAGGAGGCGUUACUCGCAGAAGAAGCACCGGCUAACUCCGUGCCAGCAGCCGCGGUAAUUC